GACGAACGCUGGCGGCGUGCCUCAAAACAUGCAAGUCGAGCGGGGGAACUUUUUAAAAGCGCAAGCUUUUAUAAGUUCCUAGCGGCGAACGGGUGAGUAACACGUGGGCAACCUACCCAGAAGACCGGGAUAACGGCUCGAAAGGGCCGCUAAUACCGGAUAAUGUCGGGGUACCGCAUGGUACUCCGAAGAAAGGGGAAACCCGCUUUUGGAUGGGCCCGCGUCCCAUCAGCUAGUUGGUGAGGUAACGGCUCACCAAGGCGACGACGGGUAGCCGGUCUGAGAGGAUGGUCGGCCACACUGGGACUGAGACACGGCCCAGACUCCUACGGGAGGCAGCAGUUGGGAAUCUUGGGCAAUGGGCGAAAGCCUGACCCAGCGACGCCGCGUGAGGGAAGAAGGGCCUUCGGGUCGUAAACCUCUGUCAUGGGGGAAGAAGCAAGUGACGGUACCCAAGAGGAAGCCCCUGCUAACUACGUG
RNAcentral lists this ribosomal RNA (480 nucleotides) under uncultured bacterium. Its description in RNAcentral is "bacterial SSU rRNA". It matches the Rfam family "Bacterial small subunit ribosomal RNA", at positions 28 to 507 of the family's 1533-position model. The record is from RNAcentral.